GAUGAAGAACGUAGCGAAAUGCGAUAAGUAGUGUGAAUUGCAGAAUUCAGUGAAUCAUCGAAUCUUUGAACGCACAUUGCGCCCCUUGGUAUUCCAUGGGGCAUGCCUGUUCGAGCGUCAUUUGUACCUUCAAGCUUUGCUUGGUGUUGGGUGUUUGUCCUGAGGGACUCGCCUUAAAGUAAUUGGCAGCCAGUGUUUGGUUUUGAAGCGCAACACAAGUCGCGAUUCAAGGCUAUACACCAGCUUCCACAAGCCUUUUUCACUUUUGACCUCGGAUCAGGUAGGGAUACCCGCUGAACUUAAGCAUAUCAAUAAGCGGAGGA
Molecule: unclassified non-coding RNA, 323 nt
Filed under: soil metagenome
Description: partial contains 5.8S ribosomal RNA, internal transcribed spacer 2, and large subunit ribosomal RNA
Rfam family: 5.8S ribosomal RNA (bases 1-120)
Source: RNAcentral